This 379-nucleotide ribosomal RNA is filed under the name uncultured eukaryote. Its description in RNAcentral is "partial 18S ribosomal RNA". It matches the Rfam family "Eukaryotic small subunit ribosomal RNA", at positions 592 to 976 of the family's 1831-position model. The record is from RNAcentral.
CAAUAGCGUAUAUUUAAGUUGUUGCAGUUAAAAAGCUCGUAGUUGGAUUUUGGGUCGGGGGCACCGGUCCGCCGUUCCGGUGUGCACUGGUGGCCCCUUCCUUUCUGCCGGGGACGUGCGUCGCACUUAAUUGGGUGGCGUUCGGAGUCGGCGUUGUUACUUUGAAAAAAUUAGAGUGUUCAAAGCAAGCCAUCGCUCUGAAUACAUUAGCAUGGAAUAACAUGAUAGGACUCCGGUCUUAUUUUGUUGGUUUCCGAGACUGGAGUAAUGAUUAAGAGGGACAGUCGGGGGCAUCCGUAUUUCAUUGUCAGAGGUGAAAUUCUUGGAUUUAUGAAAGACGAACUUCUGCGAAAGCAUUUGCCAAGGAUGUUUUCAUUAA